GCGCCUGUAGCUCAGCGGAUUAGAGCGAUGGCCUCCGGAGCCAUAGGUCGCAGGUCCGAAUCCUGCCAGGCGCGCCA
This 77-nucleotide transfer RNA is filed under the name Planctomycetota bacterium. RNAcentral's name for it is "Planctomycetes bacterium (sediment metagenome) tRNA-Arg". It matches the Rfam family "tRNA". From Rfam's summary of the family: Transfer RNA (tRNA) molecules are approximately 80 nucleotides in length. Lineage: Bacteria; Pseudomonadati; Planctomycetota. The record is from RNAcentral.